Molecule: RNA transcript, 2102 nt
Organism: Entelurus aequoreus (snake pipefish)
Lineage: Eukaryota; Metazoa; Chordata; Actinopteri; Syngnathiformes; Syngnathidae
Gene: arhgap19
Gene name: Rho GTPase activating protein 19
Exons: 13
Source: RefSeq, a predicted model, not a curated record
GCGGAGUGUGCGGAGGAACUGCGGCAGAUUCAAAGCUAGCAAACAUGGCGGCGGGUCAAGAUGUCGGCGAAAACACCCGAAAUAGAAGAGGCACGCAGUCCUCCAUGGUGGUCCACCAGCACGAGUCCCGGGGAGGGUCCCGCGCGGCCCGACAGCCCGUCAUCUUCAACCCAGACUUCUUCGUGGAGAAACUACGCCACGAGAACGCCGAGGUCUUCCUGGAGCUGGUGUUGAGCAACAUCACUCGCCUCAUCGAUCUCCCCGGCGCCGAGUUCUCGCAGCUGGUCGGCGAGGAGGGCCCCAGGACGCCCACCGCUGGGAACGGGGGCUUCUUCCGCUCCUUCAACUUCCUCAAGCGCAAAGAUAAAGGCGGCGUGUUUGCCACAGCGCUGUCGGAGAGCUGCCUGGCUCAGAUCUACCAGCUGAUCGAGUACCUCAGUAAAAACCUGCACGUGGAGGGUCUGUUCCGGGUACCGGGGAACAGCGUUCGGCAGCAGGCCCUGAGGGAGCUCCUCUGCAGUGGCGCCGCCGUGGACCUGCAGUCCGGCGACUUCCAUCCCAACGACGCGGCCACGCUCCUCAAAACGCUCCUGGGCGAGCUGCCGGAGCCCCUCCUCACGCACAGACACUACCACGCGCAUCUGAAGAUAGCUGACCUGACCCUCUUCGACGAGCAGGGCAACAAGACCUCGGCGCCCAACAAGGAGCGUCAGAUCGAAGCCCUGCAGCUUCUCUUCCUCCUCCUGCCCGCCGCCAACCGCUCGCUGCUCAAGCUGCUGCUGGACCUCCUCUACCACACCGCCAAGCAGCAGGACAAAAACAAGAUGUCCGCCUUCAACCUGGCGCUUAUGUUCGCCCCGCACGUGCUCUGGCCGCGACACGUGACGGCCCAAGACCUGAAAGACAAGCUGAAGACGCUCAACAGCAGCAUGGCCUUCCUCAUCAGACACUCGCAGAAGCUCUUCCGGGCACCGGUCUACCUGCGGGAACACGCCAGAGCACACUUCGUGACCAACUCGGUGCUGCGGAGCAAGGACGACCUGGACCUGUUGGCGGUGAGCAACCCGCCCUCGCAGCGGGUGGCGCCGCCGCUCAAGAGGGCGGCGGUCCCGACCCCGGCUGGUCCCGAGCAGUGCCAGUCCCCCGCCCAGCAAUACACGGAGGAGGCGCUGAAGGAGCUCUUUCAACACGUGCACCACAACAUGCCCGACUCGGCCAAGAAGAAGAAACUGGUCCGACAGUUGGUCAAGCAGACCGCCGCCGCCACGCCCACCAAGGAGCCUGGCCACGCCCCCAAAAAGCAUCCGCGCUCCCGCUCGUUUGGAGGACUCAUCAAGCGUAAACCUCGAUCUGAUCAGCUGACAGCAAGAUACAUCUCCCCCCACGCCGUCGCCACGGCAGCCCCAAAACACGGCAAAGAGAACGUUAUCCUGCGGGAGGUGAGAAGUCCGCUAAAAGUGCGGGGGAAGGCGGGGCUAGUGUUGAAGAACCCAGACUUCAACUUUAAUAAAAGUCAAGCUGUGAAGCAGGCCACGCCCUCCAUGGCCAGAAGUUGCUUCUCGCCGGCUCAUGAAGUCUCUCUGUAGACACCCGGACUGGACGUGACUAUUCCGUGUUGCCACGGCAACGGCUUUGUCUGGACCGCAUGUGAGCCAAUCAGACAUGACAGUAUUACAACCUGGCCACUUCAUUAGGUACACCAGGUGCAUUUUGUCCCGAGGCCAGCAGGGGGCAGCAUCACCGUUGCCAUGACAACCUGCCUGCAUCUCACACACCCUCUUUGUGCAGAGAGUGAGCAAGACUCAACAUGUUACUGAGUGUAAAGUGUUUACAUGCCAUUGUUUGUGUGACCUUCUACUGUCCAUUCUCUCACCUUCCACACUUGGAGUCGCUUUUUGCUCAGUUGUGUGCGAGGAAGGAAGAAGGAGGACUUUGGUCACGGGAGUGAGAGGAUGAUGGAGACGGACUAUCAUGGCAAUAUGUCAGCCAUCUUUACGGAAGUUGGAAAGUUGUGUUUGUGGAACGUGACCUUCCUUCCCUCGUGAGUCCUAACAUUUUAUUUGGAUUUUUUUUAAUUUUUUUUUUUUUUAAAGUUUGCUCCU